CAGUAGCCGCGGUAAUACGAGGGGGGCAAGCGUUGUUCGGAAUUAUUGGGCGUAAAGGGUGCGUAGGCGGUUUGAUAAGUCAUCUGUGAAAUCUAUGGGCUCAACCCAUAGUCUGCAGGCGAAACUGUCGGGCUUGAGAGUGGGAGAGGUGAGUGGAAUUUCCGGUGUAGCGGUGAAAUGCGUAGAUAUCGGAAGGAACACCUGUGGCGAAAGCGGCUCACUGGACCAUUUCUGACGCUGAUGCACGAAAGCUAGGGGAGCAAACAGGAUUAGAUACCCCGGUAGUCCCUGUCUCUUAUAC
RNAcentral lists this ribosomal RNA (301 nucleotides) under uncultured bacterium. Its description in RNAcentral is "partial 16S ribosomal RNA". It matches the Rfam family "Bacterial small subunit ribosomal RNA", at positions 509 to 807 of the family's 1533-position model. The record is from RNAcentral.